CCCCUAGAUGUUCUGGGCCGCACGCGCGCUACACUGAUGCAUUCAACGAGUCUAAAACCUGGUCUGAUAGGGCUGGGUAAUCUUUUGAAUGUGCAUCGUGAUUGGGAUAGAUGAUUGCAAUUCUUCAUCUUCAACGAGGAAUGCCUAGUAAACGCAAGUCAUCAGCUUGCAUUGAUUACGUCCCUGCCCUUUGUACACACCGCCCGUCGCUCCUACCGAUUGAAUGUUCCGAUGAAUACCAUGGACUGAGAGUAUGAAUGGGUUCGCCUAUUUCUGCUUCUCGGGAAGUGGAGUAAAUCUUAACAUUUAGAGGAAGGAGAAGUCGUAACA
Molecule: ribosomal RNA, 330 nt
Filed under: uncultured eukaryote
Lineage: Eukaryota
Description: partial 18S ribosomal RNA
Rfam family: Eukaryotic small subunit ribosomal RNA
Source: RNAcentral